CGUUUUCACUAGGGGUGCCUUUAAAAGGCUGAGAUUAGAGUGGACUCUGAGACCCUUGAACCUGACCUGGUUAGUGCCAGCGGAGGAAAGUGGACGUCAGCGUCA
RNAcentral lists this non-coding RNA (105 nucleotides) under Lentibacillus amyloliquefaciens. RNAcentral describes it as "TPP sequence". It matches the Rfam family "TPP riboswitch aptamer (THI element)". Rfam says of the family: Vitamin B(1) in its active form thiamin pyrophosphate (TPP) is an essential coenzyme that is synthesised by coupling of pyrimidine and thiazole moieties in bacteria. The record is from Rfam by way of RNAcentral. Lineage: Bacteria; Bacillati; Bacillota; Bacilli; Caryophanales; Bacillaceae.